UGGGGAAUUUUGGACAAUGGGGGAAACCCUGAUCCAGCAACGCUGCGUGAAGGACGAAGGUUUUCGGAUUGUAAACUUCUUUUGCAGGGGACGAAAGCCCGCAAGGGUUUGACGGUACUCUGCGAAUAAGCGACGGCUAACUACGUGCCAGCAGCCGCGGUAAGACGUAGGUCGCAAGCGUUACUCGGAUUCACUAGGCGUAAAGCGCGUGUAGGCGGAUGCUUAAGUCUAUUGUUAAAUUUCCCGGCUCAACCGGGAACGGUCAAUGGAUACUGGGCGUCUGGAGUGAUGCAGAGGAAGCCGGAAUUCCCGGUGUAGCGGUGAAAUGCGUAGAUAUCGGGAAGAACACCAGUGGCGAAGGCGGGCUUCUGGGCAUCCACUGACGCUGAGACGCGAAAGCUAGGGGAGCAAACAGG
Molecule: ribosomal RNA, 416 nt
Filed under: uncultured bacterium
Lineage: Bacteria
Description: bacterial SSU rRNA
Rfam family: Bacterial small subunit ribosomal RNA
Source: RNAcentral